RNAcentral lists this transfer RNA (74 nucleotides) under Holosporales bacterium. RNAcentral's name for it is "tRNA-Gly". It matches the Rfam family "tRNA". From Rfam's summary of the family: Transfer RNA (tRNA) molecules are approximately 80 nucleotides in length. Their secondary structure includes four short double-helical elements and three loops (D, anti-codon, and T loops). Lineage: Bacteria; Pseudomonadati; Pseudomonadota; Alphaproteobacteria; Holosporales. The record is from RNAcentral.
GCGGGUGUAGCUUAAUGGUAAAGCCCCAGCCUUCCAAGCUGGAUACGUGGGUCCGAUUCCCAUCACCCGCUCCA